CCUACGGGAGGCAGCAGUGAGGAAUAUUGGUCAAUGGGCGAGAGCCUGAACCAGCCAAGUCGCGUGAGGGAGUACUGCCCUAUGGGUUGUAAACCUCUUUUGUCGGUGAGCAAAAGCCGGACGUGUCCGGCUGUGAGAGUACCCGAAGAAAAAGCAUCGGCUAACUCCGUGCCAGCAGCCGCGGUAUUACGGAGGAGGCGAGCGUUAUCCGGAUUUACUGGGUGUAAAGGGAGCGUAGGCGGCAAGGUAAGCCAGAAGUGAAAGCCCGCGGCUCAACUGCGGGACUGCUUUUGGAACUAUCUAGCUAGAUUGCAGGAGAGGUAAGUGGAAUUCCUAGUGUAGCGGUGAAAUGCGUAGAUAUUAGGAGGAACACCAGUGGCGAAGGCGGCUUACUGGACUGUAAAUGACGCUGAGGCUCGAAAGCGUGGGGAGCAAACAGGAUUAGAUACCCGGGUAGUC
Molecule: ribosomal RNA, 459 nt
Filed under: uncultured bacterium
Lineage: Bacteria
Description: partial 16S ribosomal RNA
Rfam family: Bacterial small subunit ribosomal RNA
Source: RNAcentral